This 134-nucleotide microRNA precursor is filed under the name Hordeum vulgare. RNAcentral's name for it is "microRNA MIR1122". It matches the Rfam family "MIR1120/MIR1122 microRNA precursor family". Lineage: Eukaryota; Viridiplantae; Streptophyta; Magnoliopsida; Poales; Poaceae. The record is from RNAcentral.
GUAGUACUCCCUCCGUCCAAAAAAUUGUCUUAGAUUUGUCAAGAUAUGAAUGUAUCUAGUCAUAUUUUAGUAUUUAGAUACAUCCAUUUUUAGACAAACCUAAGACAAGAAUUUUGGGACGAAGGGAGUACUCG